Molecule: transfer RNA, 58 nt
Filed under: Candidatus Ventrimonas merdavium
Lineage: Bacteria; Bacillati; Bacillota; Clostridia; Lachnospirales; Lachnospiraceae
Description: tRNA-Lys
Rfam family: tRNA
About the family: Transfer RNA (tRNA) molecules are approximately 80 nucleotides in length. Their secondary structure includes four short double-helical elements and three loops (D, anti-codon, and T loops). Further hydrogen bonds mediate the characteristic L-shaped molecular structure. tRNAs have two regions of fundamental functional importance: the anti-codon, which is responsible for specific mRNA codon recognition, and the 3' end, to which the tRNAs corresponding amino acid is attached (by aminoacyl-tRNA synthetases). tRNAs cope with the degeneracy of the genetic code in two manners: having more than one tRNA (with a specific anti-codon) for a particular amino acid; and 'wobble' base-pairing, i.e. permitting non-standard base-pairing at the 3rd anti-codon position.
Source: RNAcentral
AGCUCAGUCGGUAGAGCACUUGACUUUUAAUCAAGUUGUCCGGGGUUCGAAUCCCCGC